ACGGAGGGUGCAAGCGUUAUCCGGAUUCACUGGGUUUAAAGGGUGUGUAGGCGGGCAGUUAAGUCAGUGGUGAAAUCUCCAGGCUCAACCUGGAAACUGCCAUUGAUACUAUCUGUCUUGAAUAUCGUUGAGGUGGGUAGAAUAUGUCAUGUAGCGGUGAAAUGCAUAGAUAUGACAUAGAAUACCGAUUGCGAAGGCAGCUCACUAAGCGUGUAUUGACGCUGAGGCACGAAAGCGUGGGGAUCAAACAGGA
RNAcentral lists this ribosomal RNA (253 nucleotides) under uncultured prokaryote. RNAcentral describes it as "partial 16S ribosomal RNA". It matches the Rfam family "Bacterial small subunit ribosomal RNA", at positions 525 to 777 of the family's 1533-position model. The record is from RNAcentral.